Molecule: ribosomal RNA, 800 nt
Filed under: uncultured Glomeromycotina
Lineage: Eukaryota; Fungi; Glomeromycota
Description: SSU rRNA
Rfam family: Eukaryotic small subunit ribosomal RNA
Source: RNAcentral
AUCAACUUUCGAUGGUAGGAUAGAGGCCUACCAUGGUGGUAACGGGUAACGGGGUGUUAGGGCACGACACCGGAGAGGGAGCCUGAGAAACGGCUACCACAUCCAAGGAUGGCAGCAGGCGCGCAAAUUACCCAAUCCCGACACGGGGAGGUAGUGACAAUAAAUAACAAUACGGGGUUCUUUAGGAUCUCGUAAUUGGAAUGAGUACAAUUUAAAUCUCUUAACGAGGAACAAUUGGAGGGCAAGUCUGGUGCCAGCAGCCGCGGUAAUUCCAGCUCCAAUAGCGUAUAUUAAAGUUGUUGCAGUUAAAAAGCUCGUAGUUGAAUUUCGGGGUUAGUAGGUUGGUCAUGCCUCUGGUAUGUACUGGUCUCACUGAUUCCUCCUUCCUGAUGAACCUUAAUGCCAUUAAUUUGGUGUUUUGGGGAAUUUGGACUGUUACUUUGAAAAAAUUAGAGUGUUUAAAGCAAGCUAACGCUUGAAUACAUUAGCAUGGAAUAAUGAAAUAGGACGUUCGAUCCUAUUUUGUUGGUUUCUAGGAUUGACGUAAUGAUUAAUAGGGAUAGUUGGGGGCAUUAGUAUUCAAUUGUCAGAGGUGAAAUUCUUGGAUUUAUUGAAGACUAACUACUGCGAAAGCAUUUGCCAAGGAUGUUUUCAUUAAUCAAGAACGAAAGUUAGGGGAUCGAAGACGAUCAGAUACCGUCGUAGUCUUAACCAUAAACUAUGCCGACUAGGGAUCGGAUGAUGUUAAUUUUUUUAAUGACUCAUUCGGCGCCUUACGGGAAACCAAAGUGUUUGGGUUC